CUUUUACAACUCCAAGCUAUCUGAUUCGAUACAAGUUACACCGUACAUCAGACUAAUUCUCACCGGAUUUUAACCUUAUCUAGAAAAAAUGAAACCCUAAUUCAACCGAAUCUAACCUAAUACAUUAUAAUCUAACGAUAUACACUGCUGUGGCAAUCAGAAAACGAGUAACGUUGAAACAGUCUUGGGUGCAAUUUGAUCACUCGUGGAAUGGCGUUCCAGCUCGAGAGACCAUGGGUGUCGGUGUUGCUUGUGUAGUGGUCUCUUGCCUUGUGCUCGGAGCCAUAUAUAUAUAUUAGUGCCAAGUGUUUAGUUGUGAAGUGACUGAGAUCACCGGGGAGCCAUUUAAAAAAACCCUUGUAUGGUGAACCUGAUUAUGUUCACCGGUAGUUUUUGUGACGGAACUCGCGAACUGAUUUAUUAUGGUGUAAACAAACAGUUGAGAGUCUUCGUUUUAACAUUUCAUGCCCAAGAUGGCUGUUUGUGCUGCUUCUGACGUCACCCUCGAUCAGAGACAAAAGACGUCACAAUAACGUGGCUGAAAUGCUCGAUGGUCCUCCAUUGAUCUAGAGGGAAGAUGGAAGUCCUGACGGACAGCUAGAAGCCGGAGUGAGGCAACAAUCACUGUAUCCUUCAGCGCUCUCUACGAUUAAGGAGGAUGCUGCAACUGGAGAGAACGUGACAUAAUGGUUUUAGAAGAUCUGGUGGCAAUGAGAUGGGAACUCAUCAGAGGAGAAUCUCAUUGAUCUUGAUGCUGCAAGGAGCCAGAGGAAAGUGUGGUAGGGGUAGCUACAGCAACGGUCCGUUUGUCCUCGCCAAUCCAGAUAAAGCUGGAGGAACUCUCAAGACUGUUACCCACACUCAUGGGUGACUUGCAGGAAGUGGAAUGUUUGGCGGAGGGCGGCGUGUCGUUAUCCAGGCCAUGGAGGAAGAUCGGAAUUGAGAGGCAGGAAAUAGGAAUCUGCGACAGACCAGGCCUAAGGUGGACCCGAGCUGGUGUUGGAGGACAGUGCGGCCUAAAAUGUUUGAGUCUCUCCUCCUGACCGGGGCACCACGGGGAAGCUGGCGCCUACAGACGGUGGAGAUGAACUGCGAGUCUGGAGUGGCCGACGAUCUGGUCAUCCACGCUACCGUGCCUGUGCCUGGUCCAGGCACUGGGAGAUCCAGGUGUUGGCCUCUUGCAAUUUGGAUAUACA
Procambarus clarkii (red swamp crayfish) is the source of this 1196-nucleotide long non-coding RNA. RefSeq lists it as uncharacterized. The record is from RefSeq and is a predicted model, not a curated record. Lineage: Eukaryota; Metazoa; Arthropoda; Malacostraca; Decapoda; Cambaridae.